Molecule: ribosomal RNA, 392 nt
Filed under: uncultured bacterium
Lineage: Bacteria
Description: partial 16S ribosomal RNA
Rfam family: Bacterial small subunit ribosomal RNA
Source: RNAcentral
AUACGGAGGAUGCGAGCGUUAUCCGGAUUUAUUGGGUUUAAAGGGAGCGUAGGCGGGAGCUUAAGUCAGCGGUUAAAUGGUGCGGCUCAACCGUGCCCUGCCGUUGAAACUGGGUUUCUUGAGAGUGCAAGAGGCGGAUGGAAUUCAUGGUGUAGCGGUUAAAUGCUUAGAUAUCAUGAAGAACUCCGAUUGCGAAGGCAGUCCGCUGGGGCACGUCUGACGCUGAUGCUCGAAGGUGCGGGAAUCAAACAGGAUUAGAUACCCUGGUAGUCCGCACGGUAAACGAUGAUUACCCGCUGUCGGCGGUAGACAGUCGGCGGCCAAGCGAAAGCGAUAAGUAAUCCACCUGGGGAGUACGCCGGCAACGGUGAAACUUAAAGGAAUUGACGGGG